ACUCAAAGGAAUAGACGGGGGCCCGCACAAGCGGCGGAGCAUGCGGAUUAAUUCGAUGCAACGCGAAGAACCUUACCUGGGUUUGACAUGCGCGCUAAAGCUGUGGAGACACAGUGUCCUUCGGGGGCGUGCACAGGUGGUGCAUGGCUGUCGUCAGCUCGUGUCGUGAGAUGUUGGGUUAAGUCCCGCAACGAGCGCAACCCUCGUUCCAUGUUGCCAGCGGGUUAUGCCGGGGACUCAUGGGAGACUGCCGGGGUCAACUCGGAGGAAGGUGGGGAUGACGUCAAGUCAUCAUGCCCCUUAUGUCCAGGGCUUCACGCAUGCUACAAUGGCCGGUACAAUGGGCUGCGAUGCCGUGAGGUGGAGCGAAUCCCAAAAAGCCGGUCUCAGUUCGGAUCGGGGUCUGCAACUCGACCCCGUGAAGUCGGAGUCGCUAGUAAUCGCAGAUCAGCAUUGCUGCGGUGAAUACGUUCCCGGGCCUUGUACACACCGCCCGU
RNAcentral lists this ribosomal RNA (497 nucleotides) under uncultured bacterium. RNAcentral describes it as "partial 16S ribosomal RNA". It matches the Rfam family "Bacterial small subunit ribosomal RNA", at positions 899 to 1397 of the family's 1533-position model. The record is from RNAcentral.